Long non-coding RNA from Oxyura jamaicensis (ruddy duck), 454 nucleotides. RefSeq lists it as uncharacterized. The transcript has 2 exons. The record is from RefSeq and is a predicted model, not a curated record. NCBI's taxonomy places the organism in Eukaryota, Metazoa, Chordata, Aves, Anseriformes, Anatidae.
UGUCCCACGUCCUUCUACCGCACGUGCUGGUCCUUCUCGCGCCUGUGCCUGCUCGAUACUUAGUCUGAAGAGCCUGUUCUCUGCAAUAGCAGGGAUGUUUUAGCGGUAGACGCUGCAGUCUGUAGCUCAACCUCUGUGUGCAGAAGUCUGCCUGGCAGCUCCUGCUGCUGUCAGAGUGACUGAAGCCUCACCUUCCCACCUCGCUGCUGCUCGCAGAUGGCAGCCGUGGUGGAAGACCUGAGCCGUGCCUGAGGUCGCAUGGCAUGUAAUGGCUUGUCCCAGCACCUCAGUGUGCGUUUGGGCAGGGCUGGCAGGAGCGUGGGGAGAGGAGGAGCAAAUGCCUCCGUAGGGCAGCCAGAUCUGUGCUGAGAUCUCCCUGAGGGAGUAAAGGAGUGUGGUCUGGCUCCAGGGUUAUGGCUGAAUUUCUGUAAAAGCAAAGGCAUUCAGGCCUAAG